CCUACGUGAGGCAGCAGUGAGGAAUAUUGGUCAAUGGCCGGAAGGCUGAACCAGCCAAGCCGCGUGAAGGACGAAGGUGCCAAGCAUUGUAAACUUCUUUUGUCAAGGGACAAAAUCAGGCUCGAGAGCCUGACCGAGGGUACUUGAAGAAAAAGCAUCGGCUAACUCCGUGCCAGCAGCCGCGGUAAUACGUAUGGUGCAAGCGUUAUCCGGAUUUACUGGGGGUAAAGGGAGCGCAGGCGGCACGGCAAGCCUGAUGUGAAAGCCCGCGGCCCAACCGCGGGACUGCAUUGGGAACUACCGGGCUGGAGUGCCGGAGAGGUAGGCGGAAUUCCUAGUGUAGCGGUGAAAUGCGUAGAUAUUAGGAGGAACACCAGUGGCGAAGGCGGCCUACUGGACGGUGACUGACGCUGAGGCUCGAAAGCGUGGGGAGCAAACAGGAUUAGAUACCCCAGUAGUC
RNAcentral lists this ribosomal RNA (460 nucleotides) under uncultured bacterium. Its description in RNAcentral is "partial 16S ribosomal RNA". It matches the Rfam family "Bacterial small subunit ribosomal RNA", at positions 338 to 795 of the family's 1533-position model. The record is from RNAcentral.